This 511-nucleotide ribosomal RNA is filed under the name uncultured bacterium. RNAcentral describes it as "partial 16S ribosomal RNA". It matches the Rfam family "Bacterial small subunit ribosomal RNA", at positions 28 to 507 of the family's 1533-position model. The record is from RNAcentral.
GAUGAACGCUGGCGGCGUGCCUAAUACAUGCAAGUCGAACGAAACUUCUUUAUCACCGAGUGCUUGCACUCACCGAUAAAGAGUUGAGUGGCGAACGGGUGAGUAACACGUGGGCAACCUGCCCAAAAGAGGGGGAUAACACUUGGAAACAGGUGCUAAUACCGCAUAACCAUAGUUACCGCAUGGUAACUAUGUAAAAGGUGGCUAUACUACCGCUUUUGGAUGGGCCCGCGGCGCAUUAGCUAGUUGGUAGGGUAAAGGCUUACCAAGGCAAUGAUGCGUAGCCGAAUUGAGAGGUUGAUCGGCCACAUUGGGACUGAGACACGGCCCAAACUCCUACGGGAGGCAGCAGUAGGGAAUCUUCCACAAUGGGCGAAAGCCUGAUGGAGAACGCCGCGUGGGUGAAGAAGGUCUUCGGAUCGUAAAACCCUGUUGUUAGAGAAGAAAGUGCGUGAGAGUAACUGUUCACGUUUCGACGGUAUCUAACCAGAAAGCCACGGCUAACUACGUG